Harpia harpyja (harpy eagle) is the source of this 404-nucleotide long non-coding RNA. RefSeq lists it as uncharacterized. The transcript has 3 exons. The record is from RefSeq and is a predicted model, not a curated record. NCBI's taxonomy places the organism in Eukaryota, Metazoa, Chordata, Aves, Accipitriformes, Accipitridae.
CAAUACUCUGAUCAAUAAAUGCAUACCUAGGCAGCCAUGGUGACAAAGAACGAUGUCUUUCCUUCAGAUAUUUGAUGCUGAAUAGAAUGCAUGAAACAUCAGCUAAAUUUGUGCAUCUUCCAUUCAGUGGGAAAAAGAAGAAAAAGUCUUAGGCUGGAAAUCCACACUAUCCAGAGAGAGAAUGUCCAAAAGGUGGAUUAGCACUCUGACACUCUGAAUAUUUUAGAAAGGUGGAAGUAUUACAGAGGGAACUAUCAGAAGUUAAAAUGCCAGGUCCUGGAUUUGUUCAGCUGGGCAGCUGGCCACGCUGCAGAAAGAGCUGAUGUUAUCUGACACGGAUCGCUCAUGGAAGGAAUGCCAGCCUCCCCAGAAGGUCGCGGAGGAGAGAGCGAGGAUUGAAGGGA